This 169-nucleotide small RNA is filed under the name Streptomyces viridosporus. RNAcentral describes it as "Streptomyces ghanaensis c-di-AMP sequence". It matches the Rfam family "c-di-AMP riboswitch aptamer (ydaO/yuaA leader)". Rfam says of the family: This family represents a conserved RNA structure found upstream of the ydaO and yuaA genes in Bacillus subtilis and related genes in other bacteria. The ydaO/yuaA element is thought to act as a genetic "off" switch for the ydaO and yuaA genes in its native state. The record is from RNAcentral. RNAcentral also lists the same sequence under 1 other name. Lineage: Bacteria; Bacillati; Actinomycetota; Actinomycetes; Kitasatosporales; Streptomycetaceae.
UCGCGUCAUGCGCCACAGGCAGGAGCGGGGGACCCAAGGUAGGCGCCGGAUCCGGAAGUUGACGCCGGAUCCGGCUCGGGGUGAAGCCGUGUCCCGUGAGGGGCGCGGCCGGGCAACUCAACCGGCCCGAACCCGACAGCUCACCUCGUAGGCGUCGGUGAGGGGAUCA